CAACUCGGCUGCAUGAAGCUGGAAUCGCUAGUAAUCGCGGAUCAGAAUGCCGCGGUGAAUACGUUCCCGGGUCUUGUACACACCGCCCGUCACACCAUGGGAGCCGGAAACGCCCGAAGCCAGCGGCCCAACCGCAAGGGGGGAGCUGUCGAAGGCGGGUCCGGUGACCGGGGUGAAGUCGUAACAAGGUAAC
Molecule: ribosomal RNA, 193 nt
Filed under: uncultured bacterium
Lineage: Bacteria
Description: partial 16S ribosomal RNA
Rfam family: Bacterial small subunit ribosomal RNA
Source: RNAcentral